This is a non-coding RNA of Coturnix japonica (Japanese quail), 2081 nucleotides long. Lineage: Eukaryota; Metazoa; Chordata; Aves; Galliformes; Phasianidae. The record is from RefSeq and is a predicted model, not a curated record.
AUUCUUCAUGGAGAUGGUGGUUAAGCAUUGGAAUGGGCAGCCCAUGGUAGACAUGCAGUUCUCGUCCCAGGAGGUAUUUAUGUGUUGUGUGAUGUGGCACUAAGGGACCUGGUAGGUCAGGCUGAUGGUUGGACUUGGUGAUCCUUAAGGUCUUUGCUGACCAAGAUGAGUCUAUGAUAGGAGAAAUAGGAACUGGGAACAACUCCUAAAUACCAUAGUGUAUAGUAACAGGGACACAUAGUCAUGCAUUGAGUCUACUAGGUAUGGAAGUCGUGCCUUUCUGACAUAACUUCUCUAUUACAAUUUCCUUUCCUGAUCUUGCCUACUGUAGUGGAAUUCCAGGGUCACAGCCUGAACCAACACAUGAACAUGUGAUGGCUUGUAGAGACACCCUUUCUGUCUCAGCAAUGCUUCUGGGAGCAUGUGUGCAGUCUGAGUCUGCAUGGGUUCCCCUUCCCCCUACCCUUUCCUUCUGCAAUGUGAGAGUACAAACAGGAGAAAGCUCCAUUCCUCAGCUCACCCCUUUCUCCAAACUGUUACUGGGAGAGGUUCAGAGGCCAGUGGAAAGAAAAAGAAUACAUCAGAGAUGAUCAACAUGCUUGUUACAUCUGCAACUCAACCUAUCAACCAAACAUAUUAUUACAGGCAUGCAAUAAGCUAGGAACAACAACUGGCUGACCAGCACAGCCACUUCCCAGCUUUAAUAAGGCUGAAAACUGACUAGGGGUGGGGGAAUAUGUUUUUUGGCUAAACCCCUUCUGUCUGCUAAUGCCCAGGUCUCCCUAGUGCCAGCCCAAAUGGACGGGCAGCCCCUGCAGCUAUGCCAUUAUGGAGGAGCACCCCAGUGAGCAGCAUGACCAUGUGACCAGGUGCUGGGUUGAUUCAGCAUCUCUUGAAGAGUUGUUCUUCACUCUGCUCUUCCUAGCCCUCUUUUUUGUUUUGCUUAUCUGCCUUAGAAGCGCUACCAAAUAAGCUCCUCUCUUUUGUUGCCUGACCAAGCAUGCAGACAGAAGAGCACCAGUAUGCACAAGGCAGCAGCAAAGAGAAGCAGAAGAGGAGGAACAUUUUUCAUGAUUAAUGAGCCAUAGGAGAAGUCUGACUGAACCAAAACUGCACACUCCUUUAUCUCCCUCCUCCAGCAGCAGGCCUCCACUUUCAUGCUUGGUUUGGCAUUUGCCCGAGUGAACAUUGUAGCAGAUUAAAUUAGUUAACCUAGAAGAACGUUCAUCUGUUUUACAGGGUUUUCCUUUCCCUGACAGAAUAGUGAGAGUCAUCGCCUAAUCACAGGUUGAGAGAGGAGAUGCUGAUUGACUUAAAGCGAGGGGCCAGCACUAGGUAAUCUGUGGGCAUGAAAACACGGGUAGAUCCAGACAAAGGAGUUGGCUGUCUCAGACUGCUCUCUCCAGUACCCAAAGCACCAAGGGGAACAGACAAAGCAGAUUUCUAUUGAAAACAGCACAUUACACCGGGAGGGAAGUUUGUUUAAAGGAACAUAAUUUGAAAUGCAAAGUACACCUUGUCAAAGGUUCUGUCUGUGUCAGGAAUGCAUCUACAAGUCCAUCUAGAUGGGGAGACAUGGGCAUUCAGAUUUAAGCUAAGUGUAACCAGAUUAAGUGCAACUAUUCUGUUUCUCCAAGCAUCUGUUGUUUAUAUGGGUAGCUACUCAGUACUAUGAGAGGUAUUCCGCAUGUAGAGUUCACUUGGCAUGAAUUUAGGAAGAUUGUAUAGUAACUGAUCAAACACUCAAAAUGAAGGUGAACCAUGUACUGUGGACCUUAAGCACCUAUUGUCAUAGUUUUAUGAUCAUCAGUAUUGCACAUCAUUACAUCACGUAGCAUACUGGUUAUUUAUGGGCCAAGCCAGCCCAUAAACUGUCGACACCUAUGGAACAUUCUCUAUACAUGGGUAACAGAACAGGUUUUACAGCAACUGAAUGAGUAAGGCUGAGAGCUGGUAUCAUAAGAAUCAUCAAAAGAAGAGGAUGUUCCAGAGAUCAGAGGUAACCAAAAAAGCAGUCCAGCAUGAAGUACAGAUAGGAAAGUGUGUCUGACCACGGAGGACCCACAUUAUAACUACCACUA